Molecule: ribosomal RNA, 460 nt
Filed under: uncultured bacterium
Lineage: Bacteria
Description: partial 16S ribosomal RNA
Rfam family: Bacterial small subunit ribosomal RNA
Source: RNAcentral
CCUACGGGAGGCAGCAGUGAGGAAUAUUGGUCAAUGGACGAGAGUCUGAACCAGCCAAGUAGCGUGAAGGAUGACUGCCCUAUGGGUUGUAAACUUCUUUUAUAAAGGAAUAAAACGAGGCACGUGUGCCUUUUUGCAUGUACUUUAUGAAUAAGGAUCGGCUAACUCCGUGCCAGCAGCCGCGGUAAUACGGAGGAUCCGAGCGUUAUCCGGAUUUAUUGGGUUUAAAGGGAGCGUAGAUGGGUUGUUAAGUCAGUUGUGAAAGUUUGCGGCUCAACCGGAAAAUUGCAAUUGAUACUGGCAGUCUUGAGUACAGUAGAGGUAGGCGGAAUUCGUGGUGUAGCGGUGAAAUGCUUAGAUAUCACGAAGAACCCCGAUGGCGAAGGCAGCUUACUAAACUUUGACUGACAUUGAUGCUCGAAAGUGUGGGUAGCAAACAGGAUUAGAUACCCGGGUAGUC